RNAcentral lists this ribosomal RNA (373 nucleotides) under uncultured organism. RNAcentral describes it as "partial 16S ribosomal RNA". It matches the Rfam family "Bacterial small subunit ribosomal RNA", at positions 527 to 896 of the family's 1533-position model. The record is from RNAcentral.
GUAGGUGGCAAUCGUUGUCCGGAAUUAUUGGGCGUAAAGCGCGCGCAGGCGGUUCUUUAAGUCUGAUGUGAAAGCCCACGGCUCAACCGUGGAGGGUCAUUGGAAACUGGAGAACUUGAGUACAGAAGAGGAAAGCGGAAUUCCACGUGUAGCGGUGAAAUGCGUAGAGAUGUGGAGGAACACCAGUGGCGAAGGCGGCUUUCUGGUCUGUAACUGACGCUGAGGCGCGAAAGCGUGGGGAGCAAACAGGGAUUAGAUACCCUGGUAGUCCACGCCGUAAACGAUGAGUGCUAAGUGUUAGGGGGUUUCCGCCCCCUUAGUGCUGCAGCUAACGCAUUAAGCACUCCGCCUGGGGAGUACGGCCGCAAGGCUG